AGAGGGUUAGGUUAAGGUAGACCAGAAAGUCUUCAAAACUUUUUGUAUUGGUUCAAGUCCAGUACCCUUUG
This 71-nucleotide transfer RNA is filed under the name Liriope tetraphylla. RNAcentral describes it as "tRNA-Trp". It matches the Rfam family "tRNA". Rfam says of the family: Transfer RNA (tRNA) molecules are approximately 80 nucleotides in length. The record is from RNAcentral. Lineage: Eukaryota; Metazoa; Cnidaria; Hydrozoa; Limnomedusae; Geryoniidae.